UGGCUCAGAACGAACGCUGGCGGCGUGCUUAACACAUGCAAGUCGAACGAACCUUCGGGUUAGUGGCGGACGGGUGAGUAACGCGUGAGAAUCUGCCCUCAGGAGGGGGAUAACGGUUGGAAACGGCCGCUAAUACCCCAUAUGCCGCGAGGUGAAAUGAAUUUCGCCUGAGGAUGAGCCCGCGUCUGAUUAGCUAGUUGGUGGGGUAAAGGCCUAGCAAGGCGACGAUCAGUAGCUGGUCUGAGAGGAUGAUCAGCCACACUGUGCCUGAGACACGGACCAGACUCCUACGGG
This 294-nucleotide ribosomal RNA is filed under the name uncultured bacterium. RNAcentral's name for it is "partial 16S ribosomal RNA". It matches the Rfam family "Bacterial small subunit ribosomal RNA", at positions 20 to 345 of the family's 1533-position model. The record is from RNAcentral.